Molecule: ribosomal RNA, 449 nt
Filed under: Haplorhynchites caeruleus
Lineage: Eukaryota; Metazoa; Arthropoda; Insecta; Coleoptera; Attelabidae
Description: partial 16S ribosomal RNA
Source: RNAcentral
CUUUAAAUAAAAAUUUAAGGUUUAACCUGCCCACUGAGGAUUUAAAUGGCCGCGGUAUUUUGACCGUGCAAAGGUAGCAUAAUCAAUAGUUUUUUAAUUGAAAGCUGGAAUGAAAGGUUGGAUAAGAAAGUGACUGUCUCUAUUGAAUAUUAAUAGAAUUUAAUUUUUAAGUAAAAAAGCUUAAAUGUUUUUAAAAGACGAGAAGACCCUAUAGAGUUUAAUAAUUUAAGAUUUUUUUAUAAAUUUGUAUAUAGAAAUUAAAAAUUAAGAAUUAUUUGAUUGGGGUGAUUGAAAAAUUUAAUAAACUUUUUUUGAAANAAUUACAUUGAUGUAUGAAUGAAUGAUCCAUAUUAGGAUUAAAAGAUUAAAUUACCUUAGGGAUAACAGCGUAAUUAUUCUUGAGAGUCCAUAUUGAAAGAANAGAUUGCGACCUCGAUGUUGGAUUAAAA